Molecule: long non-coding RNA, 538 nt
Organism: Magnolia sinica
Lineage: Eukaryota; Viridiplantae; Streptophyta; Magnoliopsida; Magnoliales; Magnoliaceae
Exons: 3
Source: RefSeq, a predicted model, not a curated record
UGCACUUCUCUUUUGUUUGUAAUUGCUUAUGCCUAAAUUUACACCAGAUGUGCAACGUGUAAUGCUUUCCAAAAAUAAAUGAGAAAUGUAAGCCAAUCCAUGGGCACCAAUCACAUGGCCAUUCUCAUGUUUUGCAGAAUGUUAUACUGAUGCUCAAGCGGAGGAUUAUAGGCCCUUGUAUAAUGUUAAUGUACAAGCUUGGGCCUGAUAUCAAAGGCCCUAUUUGCUUUUAGACCCAAUGACUUAAAUGGGCCAAACUUGGGUUGAUCUACAUUAAGGUUCUAUUGUAGGUAAUAUGCAUAUUCCAUAAAAGAGGAUCCAAUUAGCUUCUUUUUUUCUCGUGUACAACCAAGUUUAUUUAAUAUUCCAUCUUUCUACUUAUCCUUGAUUUGGCUAUCUGAUAAUCAGAUAAUCCUGCUUGACCACCUGUUAGGCACAUGAUGUGCUUUUUCUCAGUUUCGUGUUGUUUUGCUGGUGGUUGCUUGUUAACUUUUAGGACUUGAUUAGGUUUGACUAUAUUGAACGAGGUUGCCGAGCU